RNAcentral lists this small nuclear RNA (107 nucleotides) under Suricata suricatta (meerkat). RNAcentral's name for it is "U2 spliceosomal RNA (ENSSSUG00005003423.1)". It matches the Rfam family "U2 spliceosomal RNA". Rfam says of the family: U2 is a small nuclear RNA (snRNA) component of the spliceosome (involved in pre-mRNA splicing). Complementary binding between U2 snRNA (in an area lying towards the 5' end but 3' to hairpin I) and the branchpoint sequence (BPS) of the intron results the bulging out of an unpaired adenosine, on the BPS, which initiates a nucleophilic attack at the intronic 5' splice site, thus starting the first of two transesterification reactions that mediate splicing. The record is from RNAcentral. Lineage: Eukaryota; Metazoa; Chordata; Mammalia; Carnivora; Herpestidae.
AUCGCUUCUUGGCCUUUUGGCUAAGAUCAAGUGUAGUAUCUGUUCUUAUCAGUUUAAAAAUGCCUUCAAAAAGAUACUGUGAUUUAAUACUAAAAAGAAAAGCUUUU